GCUGGGCGUGGUGGCGCAUGCCUGUAAUCCCAGCUAUCAGGAGGCUGAGACGGGAGAAUCGCUUGAACCCAGGAGGCAGAGGAUGCAGUGAGCUGAGAUCACGCCACUGCACUCCAGCCUGAGUGACAACACGAGACUCCGUCUCAA
Pongo abelii (Sumatran orangutan) is the source of this 147-nucleotide unclassified non-coding RNA. It matches the Rfam family "Metazoan signal recognition particle RNA". Rfam says of the family: The signal recognition particle (SRP) is a universally conserved ribonucleoprotein. It is involved in the co-translational targeting of proteins to membranes. The record is from Ensembl. NCBI's taxonomy places the organism in Eukaryota, Metazoa, Chordata, Mammalia, Primates, Hominidae.